GAUGAACGCUGGCGGCGUGCUUAACACAUGCAAGUCGAACGAUGAAGCCCAGCUUGCUGGGUGGAUUAGUGGCGAACGGGUGAGUAACACGUGAAUAACCUGCCCUUGACUCUGGGAUAAGCCUGGGAAACUGGGUCUAAUACUGGAUAUGACUUCUCAUCGCAUGGUGGGGGGUGGAAAGAUUUAUUGGUCUUGGAUGGACUCGCGGCCUAUCAGCUUGUUGGUGAGGUAAUGGCUCACCAAGGCGACGACGGGUAGCCGGCCUGAGAGGGUGACCGGCCACACUGGGACUGAGACACGGCCCAGACUCCUACGGGAGGCAGCAGUGGGGAAUAUUGCACAAUGGGCGCAAGCCUGAUGCAGCGACGCCGCGUGAGGGAUGACGGCCUUCGGGUUGUAAACCUCUUUCAGUAGGGAAGAAGCGAGAGUGACGGUACCUGCAGAAGAAGCGCCGGCUAACUACGUG
This 466-nucleotide ribosomal RNA is filed under the name uncultured bacterium. RNAcentral's name for it is "partial 16S ribosomal RNA". It matches the Rfam family "Bacterial small subunit ribosomal RNA", at positions 28 to 507 of the family's 1533-position model. The record is from RNAcentral.